This 2706-nucleotide long non-coding RNA is filed under the name Mytilus galloprovincialis (Mediterranean mussel). Lineage: Eukaryota; Metazoa; Mollusca; Bivalvia; Mytilida; Mytilidae. The record is from RNAcentral.
UCUAUUUAUACUGCCCUUGGUCAAACACCUAUAUAUUGACAUGUAGCUUUCAUACAAAGCUAAAGCUAAACAGGCUAGUUAAUAAUUCAGGGGUUGUUUACUUGGAACAUUCUGUCAACAUUGAAGUUCUUUUUUUUUAUUUCUUCAUAGAUCACCAUUUGAACUUUUAUGGUUUCAGAAUAAAAAUGCACUAGUAUAGGUUCUUGGUAUAUGUAUUACAGAGAUCAUUUCGAAUUUAAAUAAUCAAAAAAACAGACAAAAAAACCAAGUAUAUGGUCAUUUCUUUUUUUACAGAUAUGGAACUACAAACAGUGUAGUAGUUGUAUCGUAUCACCAGGCCAGUAGCCAGGAAUUUCCAAGGGGGGGUUAUUUGGACUCAUGAACUCUACUUUAACAUUCACAAUUUGAACAAAACGUUGACUUUAACAGUGCUUAUUUGGUUUCAAGGGGGGUGGGGGUGGGGGUUCGGACCCUGGCUACGGGUAUGAUCACAUGGUACUAUCAUCUACUGCCCUUGAUCAAACACUUAUAUAUUGAGAUGUAGCUAUCAUACAAAGCUGGAGUUGAAAAUAUAGUGUUUUUUUUUAUAAUUCUUCAGUUUCACAAUGAAAAUGCCCUAGAGAGGUUCCUCAUAUUUGUAUUAGUGUCAUGUGUAUAUUGUAUGCUUACUGUAUUAAUAGUUAUAGUAUAACUAAUCGCCGUAUUUGAAUAUCAAAAAUAAGACAACGCGUGACCGAACGACGCAUGUUCGGUCAUAAGUUGUCUUAUUUUUUAUAUUCAAAUACGGCGAUCAGUUAUUCUUUUUAUUACAUUGGCAAAUGGCUUUUUUUUAUCAAAUUAAUGUAGAAAAUGUAAGGAACUAUAUCUUUUUCCUACGCAUUGACAAUUUGUUUUGAUCCGACGUUAUCGACGUCUUGACAACGCCUAUUGUUGUAUGACGUCAGAGAUUGAAAUAACCACGUUUAUUUCACAUGUGAAAUUAUCGGUUUUUAUCAAACUGGGAAAUCAAUGUAAUUCAUUGCAACCAAUGUAUUAAUCUCUUAUAAAUUUUAACAUGAAUAUGGUAUUACAUGCACAAAAGAUUUUUUUUUUUUUUUUUUUACAGAUUUGGGACAUCAGAUGAUGAGGGGAAUGUUUAUGUGACUAAUAGGAAUACCAACAUUGUAAAAGUAAUAUCUGAUGAUAUCAUAAUAGAGAGAAUGGUAACUGAACAUUUGGAACAUGCUUUGCCAACAUUGAAGUGUUUUUUUUAUAUAAUUCUUCGAUUGAUGACCAUUUUGUAUUUGCUUGUAGUGUUUCAGCAUAAAAAUACACUACAGAGGUUCCUUGUAUUUAUAUCAGUGUACUAUGUAUAUUGUAUGCCUACAUAGAUCAUUUUGACAUUAGAAGAUUUUUUAUUUUAAUUUAAACAUGUAUAUGGUCUACAAUUUAUUUUAUUUUUUUCUUACAGAUAUGUGACAUCAAAUGAUGACGGGAAUGUGUAUGUGACUGAUUUGAGUACCAACACUGUAGUAGUUAUAUCAGAUGAUGGAAAACAUUGCAGAGAAACUAUUACUGAAUCAGACAGUAGUAUUUGAUGAUGGUAAACAUCAUAGAGAAAUUCCUACUAAAUCAGAUGGACUAACAUAAAAGUUAUGCAAAUUUUUGUACAUUUUGUUUUGAGUUUAACAUUAAUAGCUUAUAUUAAUUGAUUUUUGGUGUUUUAACGCCACUUUUAUGCACCGCAUUAAGGCUAUUUCAUGGCAGCUAGUUUUUAUUGGUUGAGGAAGCAAGAGUGCCUGGAGAAAGCCACUGACUUUUGAUAGGAAAACUGACCAUCCUAGUCAAUUAAGAUUGUGGUCAAGUGUACCUGCACGAGCAGAGUUCAAACUCACAACCCCAGUGUUGACUGGCUAGUGAUUACAGUAGUAACUACUUAGACCACUGGGCCACUGAGGUCCCUUAAUAGCUUAUAUAUUGACAUACAAAGAUUACCAGCAAAAAAGGAUUUAAAAAAUACAUGGUAUUCUUAAAAUUGCUCUGCUUUGAUAAUUGUUUAUUGUUUUUUAACACCACUUUCAACACUAUUGUGCUAUUUCGUGGCAGCAAGUUAUUAUUGGUGGAGGAAACCAAAGUGCCAAGAGAGAACCUCUGACCUUCUGUAGGAAAACUGACAAUUUCAGUAAAUUUAGAUUGGAGUCAAGCGCUUGCCCUAUGCAGGGUUAGAACUUGCAACCUCAAGUGUCGAUAGGCUAGUGAUACAGUAGUUAAGAAUACUAAGAAUACUUAAACAAAGUGACCCCUUUGUUUAUAUUGAAACCUUCUGCUGUUUAUUAUGAUUUUAGAAAUAUAUGAGAGCUUGCUUAAAACUAGACAACAAAACAAUGCCAAGGGUACAUUUGAUAUUGUACAAGUUUCACAAAAUCAUUUGGGUUGAUCGAUUUUUGUUUUGUUCAUUUCAUGUUUGAAAAAUUAAUACAUUUAGAGUUUAAAUUUUUUAUAUGCUCAAUAAUGCCCUAUGUCCAGACUUUCAAGAUGGUAUCACUACUAGGUUAUAAAAUAUGAAACAAUAGUUAAAUCUACUAGUCAUGUUGAUAAAAAAAAAAAAAGCUUCAAAAGAACUAGAAACAUAUACAUGUACUAAUUAUUACAUUUACUAAUGUAUACCUUUAUUAAAAAUAAAUUUCAAACCAGGUAAGGAAUGUAGGGGUAAUGUAAAAAAAAUUC